Long non-coding RNA from Cryptotermes secundus, 963 nucleotides. RefSeq lists it as uncharacterized. The record is from RefSeq and is a predicted model, not a curated record. NCBI's taxonomy places the organism in Eukaryota, Metazoa, Arthropoda, Insecta, Blattodea, Kalotermitidae. The transcript is spliced from 5 exons.
UCAAACUACAUGGGUGGAACAAGCCUUUGCGACACGUCAGCUGUUACUUGUGCGGCAACUGCCUGAAUGAUUCACUUGUACCGUUCUUUAAUUAUAUUAAGGUAAAAGAAUGAAGUUUGAUAAUACGGGAUUUCAUAUUUGUGAAUGGAGAAUUAAAGCUGGACCGAGUAUUUUUCCUGGCAACGGGAAUAAUUACAGCUUUCUUUUUCUUUGCGUCAUGGAACAUCUCCCAAUAAGAAAGUCACCAUUCGGUGAAGACGGGAGCCGUAAGAAAGAAAAGAAUUAAAUAAAUUUAUAUAAAUUAUUUAUUUCCAUUAUAUAUUAUUAUUAUCUCAAUUUAUUAUUAUUAUAUCAAUUCAUUUUAGUUUUUUCUGCAUUAGCCUACUGCAUAGUAGGAUGGUAAAUGUAUUACAUGCCUUCAGACUCACUGUAAUUGACUAGGGGUUGGUUGAACCAUUUGUAGAAUAUUUAAGUACUAUAAUGUAGUACGUAUAGUACAUUCUCAUCUUAAGAUGUACAUUACUUGUAGAUUCGAGUGAUUUGUAUAAAUGUUCAACAGAUCCACCAUUCAGUCCAAACCCCAUCUAUCGUCACACAUAAAAAGCACAUGCACUAAAAAGAAUCCGAACAGGACCUACUGUACAUAAAGCUGUUUGGCACAGUUAACAUGCGUACUGUCCAUUUCUGUAAGAUAAAGUUUUCUUGUGCUUAUUUGAUUAAGCACUAAGUCAUGAUGAUAUAUGAUGGAGAGGAGCUAUAGCUUUUCUUGAAUACGGCAUUAGACAGAGGUGAGUGGUCAGCAUCACCACCUGGACACUGAGAAGAAAAUUAAAAUGUUGCCAUGCCAGGAAUCGAACCCAUAUCCAGUACCUCUCUGUAAGUGUUGUUUAUAUUUCUUGUGACUACACUGCUCUUUCUGUGUAUAGAUAUAAAAUCAAAAUAAUAAAUUGCUGUUAUUGAUAA